Lolium perenne is the source of this 1656-nucleotide long non-coding RNA. RefSeq lists it as uncharacterized. Lineage: Eukaryota; Viridiplantae; Streptophyta; Magnoliopsida; Poales; Poaceae. The record is from RefSeq and is a predicted model, not a curated record.
UCGUGUCUUGUGUCUUGUGCGUGAGCUCCAGACCGGUUUGUAUGAUUAGAAAAGGAAGUCCACCUAUUAAGGUAGAGCGGUUAGUUUACUGAAAAACCUAAGUCCAUUCUUUAAAAUAUAAAUGAUAUAUGAUAUUCCACUUCUCAAAUGAAAAACACGAGAACAUACCUUAUUUUAUGUAGUGCAUUUUUUACUUGUGUUUUAUCUCUAAAUUGAAGUUCAGAUUUAAAUGCAUAGUAGUUCGGAUGCUAGUAAUGUAUAGUAGUUCAAAUCACAAAACUUUAAAAAGAAAAAAUAUUGGCGAAGAACUCCAGGAUCCUCUUUUCCCUGUCGCUCCUCCUAGGAAGUUCGCCCUGCGCCGCCGAGGAGUUCACCCGCACCUACCGCUGGGGGACGACGGCACCGGGAUGUAGUGGUCGGGAUCCUUGGAAAGUUUGGUUAUGUUGCAGCUUAGUAAUUUGACAGGGGCAGUGCGGAGCAUACCAGGCAGUCCACUCGUGCGGAUGUGCGAUAACGUCACCCACAUUCUCCCACCCUCCUGAACUAUCCGAACAACAACAUGCUGUUGAAGUUUCCAGCAAUUGUUUGUUUGAAGUUCAGACACGGUUCAGAAAAAGUUCAUUGCAUGUAGUUACCUUUUCCCCCCAGUAUUUUGCCUAUCAAAUUGAUGUAAAGUUCAGACUGAUCAUGUGCAUGGAAUUCAUUUUACUUUCAUGGCAGCACAAAGGUGAGCCAUGUUUAUUUGGCAAAACGAAAGAGUUAGCACUUGUAUAGUAUGUCAAUCACUUUAAACACCACCCUUUCUUAAACAAAUUGGGGGACAUGAUGCCCUUUGAUUCGGAAACCAUUCAAACUAUGACACAACAAAGUGCAGUUUUAUGACAGGUGUUGGCGACCUGGGAGUCCAUCGCUCGCAGCCAUGGGAAGUCCAUCAAUGUCGUCCACAAUGUCCGACAGGGAACAACAUCAUCAGGAGUUCGCUUCUUCUAAUCUGUUAAGCUCACUUCUCUUAAUUCGCAAAGUUCACAUCUACUACUAUUCACAAAUCGCAAAGUGAACUGAUAUGUUCAUUGGAUAUCAUUUGAAAAAAAUGCAGUAUACUUGCAAAGCUCACUUUCAUCUUCGAGUGAAAAAAUUCAUCAUUUAAAAAUGCAGUAUACUGAUGAACCUAUUUUCUUCCAUUUCUUGGCGUGGCAGAUUUCCGCAGUAGCAUGUCGCGCUGGUGGCGGUCAUGUCCUAAAAUUAUUGGCCGGGGCCCUGUGCUGCUGAUUCCUUGGCCGAUACCUUCUGCGAGUGGGUGCGUGCUCCUCCGGCAGGGUAGCAGCUUGGGCGAUGAAUUCAACAAGACUUGUAGAGCUUGGCUGGAAGACACUAUAAUAUUUUUGAAUUAGCUCAUGUAUUUAGGGGAGAAGUUUUUCUGCACUUCAACGUGGCUAUUUAGGAUUCAUACUUCCUUAUUUGGGAUAUGAACUUCAACGUGGCUCCAUGAUCGCAUGCCGUUGAGAAGUUUUGUAGCAUUUUUCCUCCGUGAAGUGUUACUGUGUCUGACUUUCACUUUUGCCUUUAACUCUGAUUACUUGUAAUAAUUUGGGGAAAUGAAUAACAUGUACUUGUGUUGAUGUGUAAUAGAAAAAAUAAGAAGUUCAUUUUUAUUUA